Long non-coding RNA from Carassius carassius (crucian carp), 413 nucleotides. RefSeq lists it as uncharacterized. The record is from RefSeq and is a predicted model, not a curated record. The transcript has 4 exons. NCBI's taxonomy places the organism in Eukaryota, Metazoa, Chordata, Actinopteri, Cypriniformes, Cyprinidae.
UUUGCUGUUUAGAUCUAAAUAUGGAUUGCAUUCAAAUAUCUUCCAAUACCUUUGUCCGCAUAUUAAUUAUUCAUGGGAUCUCAGAAUGGAGAAAAAGAAGAGACACCAGAGAGGCUCUGCGCCCAUUUGAGUUUCCAGAUGCGUUCAGAACCACGGGACACGCGGAAAGCUGGAGGAAAACAAGUUUAGCCCCUAUUCAGUCCUGAAUUCUGCAUGAGUCUCAUGAUCAUGUGAAUUUCUUCUUAUAUCUGCUCCAUCUGCUUCAAGGUAAUAAUCAGAAACCAAACUAAAGGACCUCCAAAGUCUGAAGCGCGAUGAUGGAUGUCUAGCAGUUGUCGGGUCCAAAUCAGAGUCCAGGACAGUACAGAAAAUGGGACACAGAUGGGAUGUUUGUCCUGCCGCCUGAAAGAAAC